RNAcentral lists this ribosomal RNA (723 nucleotides) under bacterium 79-L049393-122-001-G10. RNAcentral describes it as "bacterial SSU rRNA". It matches the Rfam family "Bacterial small subunit ribosomal RNA", at positions 57 to 761 of the family's 1533-position model. The record is from RNAcentral.
GCAGUCGAGCGAAUGGAUUAAGAGCUUGCUCUUAUGAAGUUAGCGGCGGACGGGUGAGUAACACGUGGGUAACCUACCCAUAAGACUGGGAUAACUCCGGGAAACCGGGGCUAAUACCGGAUAAUAUUUUGAACUGCAUAGUUCGAAAUUGAAAGGCGGCUUCGGCUGUCACUUAUGGAUGGACCCGCGUCGCAUUAGCUAGUUGGUGAGGUAACGGCUCACCAAGGCGACGAUGCGUAGCCGACCUGAGAGGGUGAUCGGCCACACUGGGACUGAGACACGGCCCAGACUCCUACGGGAGGCAGCAGUAGGGAAUCUUCCGCAAUGGACGAAAGUCUGACGGAGCAACGCCGCGUGAGUGAUGAAGGCUUUCGGGUCGUAAAACUCUGUUGUUAGGGAAGAACAAGUGCUAGUUGAAUAAGCUGGCACCUUGACGGUACCUAACCAGAAAGCCACGGCUAACUACGUGCCAGCAGCCGCGGUAAUACGUAGGUGGCAAGCGUUAUCCGGAAUUAUUGGGCGUAAAGCGCGCGCAGGUGGUUUCUUAAGUCUGAUGUGAAAGCCCACGGCUCAACCGUGGAGGGUCAUUGGAAACUGGGAGACUUGAGUGCAGAAGAGGAAAGUGGAAUUCCAUGUGUAGCGGUGAAAUGCGUAGAGAUAUGGAGGAACACCAGUGGCGAAAGCGACUUUCUGGUCUGUAACUGACACUGAGGCGCGAAAGCG